Molecule: ribosomal RNA, 483 nt
Filed under: Veillonella dispar
Lineage: Bacteria; Bacillati; Bacillota; Negativicutes; Veillonellales; Veillonellaceae
Description: bacterial SSU rRNA
Rfam family: Bacterial small subunit ribosomal RNA
Source: RNAcentral
GACGAACGCUGGCGGCGUGCUUAACACAUGCAAGUCGAACGAAGAGCGAUGGAAGCUUGCUUCUAUCAAUCUUAGUGGCGAACGGGUGAGUAACGCGUAAUCAACCUGCCCUUCAGAGGGGGACAACAGUUGGAAACGACUGCUAAUACCGCAUACGAUCUGACCUCGGCAUCGAGGAUGGAUGAAAGGUGGCCUCUAUUUAUAAGCUAUCACUGAAGGAGGGGAUUGCGUCUGAUUAGCUAGUUGGAGGGGUAACGGCCCACCAAGGCGAUGAUCAGUAGCCGGUCUGAGAGGAUGAACGGCCACAUUGGGACUGAGACACGGCCCAGACUCCUACGGGAGGCAGCAGUGGGGAAUCUUCCGCAAUGGACGAAAGUCUGACGGAGCAACGCCGCGUGAGUGAUGACGGCCUUCGGGUUGUAAAGCUCUGUUAAUCGGGACGAAAGGCCUUCUUGCAAAUAGUUAGAAGGAUUGACGGUACCG